This 511-nucleotide ribosomal RNA is filed under the name uncultured Stenotrophomonas sp. RNAcentral's name for it is "bacterial SSU rRNA". It matches the Rfam family "Bacterial small subunit ribosomal RNA", at positions 381 to 883 of the family's 1533-position model. The record is from RNAcentral. Lineage: Bacteria; Pseudomonadati; Pseudomonadota; Gammaproteobacteria; Lysobacterales; Lysobacteraceae.
CCUGAAUCCAGCCAUACCGCGUGGGGUGAAGAAGGCUUCGGGUUGUAAAGCCCUUUUGUUGGGAAAGAAAUCCAGCCGGCUAAUACCUGGUUGGGAUGACGGUACCCAAAGAAUAAGCACCGGCUAACUUCGUGCCAGCAGCCGCGGUAAUACGAAGGGUGCAAGCGUUACUCGGAAUUACUGGGCGUAAAGCGUGCGUAGGUGGUUGUUUAAGUCUGUUGUGAAAGCCCUGGGCUCAACCUGGGAACUGCAGUGGAAACUGGACAACUAGAGUGUGGUAGAGGGUAGCGGAAUUCCCGGUGUAGCAGUGAAAUGCGUAGAGAUCGGGAGGAACAUCCAUGGCGAAGGCAGCUACCUGGACCAACACUGACACUGAGGCACGAAAGCGUGGGGAGCAAACAGGAUUAGAUACCCUGGUAGUCCACGCCCUAAACGAUGCGAACUGGAUGUUGGGUGCAAUUUGGCACGCAGUAUCGAAGCUAACGCGUUAAGUUCGCCGCCUGGGGAGUAC